AGAAAAUAAAAUAAAAUACAUUAUAUAAUGACAAGCAAUGGCUUGUCAAAAUGGCAAUGUGAUAUUGCAUACACUUUAUUAAUAUCUUCUUGCUCCUAUGGUCAUUACACAUGAAGAGUUUCACAUCAUCCUAUCAUAUUAGGAUUCAUAUAUGCUAUUCUUACAUAGAAGCCAACAAGUACAAGAGGAGCUACAUAAGAAAGUAAGUUUUCUAGAGCACAAGAAAUAAAAACAUGUUAGACACCGAGAAAAACAACACAUUAUUAUAAACUAAGUGGUGUUCUUUCUCCUGUCUAUUUAUUUGAUUCAGCCUAUGAGCCAUGAAUGAAAAAUAUUAGCAAUCAUGGCUCUUUUAUUCUUCUCAGUACAUAAUAUUUUGUAGGAGCAACUAGCUAAAAGUUUUUCACCAAAACUGUCCUCUCUGGUAGACCUAUAGAGGAAGAACCACAUUUUUUUGAAGAGAGACAUUUGUUAGCAGCAUCUAAAUCAUUCUCUUCCUCAGCAAUGGUGUCUAGCAUUUUCUUCAUCCUGUGGCGUUUGACUGAGAUAAAUCUUGGUGGAGCAACCUCUGUCAUGAUCCUAGCCAUUUGUAACUUGGCCAUUUCUAAGAAUGGAAGUUUUUUUUAGAAGAAUGAAUGAAUGAAAGAAUUGAUGAUAUAAAAGAAAGCAAAUUAAAGAAGUUCUUUACUAUCUGAUUAGAGGAAGGAAAUGGAAGUUGAAGAGGUGAGGCACAAUGCAAGAGUCAUAUAUGUUGCACCAUCAUUUAUAAGAUUGAUGAAGGUUGUGGCGCACAGUUUAUUGGAUUGUUGUCUCUUUCAGUGGUCGGCUGCUAUGUGGGGCUAGGCUAGCAGAGAGCAUACUUACCUAGUUUGAAAUAGGAGCACAUCUUUUCUCCCAUAAUAUAUACAAUUUUAUAUAUUAAUUUUAUGUUUUACUUUUUUUAACUAAUAAGAAACAAGAGUUUUAUUGAGUUGCAAGAUGUGGAUCCUUUCAGAUUAUAGGUUCGAAAGUAUGGUACAUGGUUUUACAAGUAAAAAUAUAUUAUUGUCGGAAAAUAUGUUAUUCAUCAAUAAAAAUAUACAUG
RNAcentral lists this long non-coding RNA (1084 nucleotides) under Lupinus angustifolius (narrow-leaved blue lupine). Its description in RNAcentral is "long non-coding RNA (LANG_LNC002083)". The record is from RNAcentral. Lineage: Eukaryota; Viridiplantae; Streptophyta; Magnoliopsida; Fabales; Fabaceae.